UGCUAGUCGCACGAGUUUAGACUCGUGGCAGAUAGCUCAGUAACACGUGGCCAAACUACCCUGUCGAUCGGGACACCCUCGGGAAACUGAGGCUAAUCCCGGAUACGGCUCGCUGCCUGGAGUUGGCGCGAGCUCGAAACGUUCAGGCGCGACAGGAUGUGGCUGCGGCCGAUUAGGUAGACGGUGGGGUAACGGCCCACCGUGCCGAUAAUCGGUACGGGUUGUGAAAGCAAGAGCCCGGAGACGGAAUCUGAGACAAGAUUCCGGGCCCUACGGGGCGCAGCAGGCGCGAAACCUUUACACUGCACGCGAGUGCGAUAGGGGGACUCCAAGUGCGAGGGCAUACAGUCCUCGCUUUUUGCGACCGUAAGGAGGUCGCGGAAUAAGUGCUGGGCAAGACCGGUGCCAGCCGCCGCGGUAAUACCGGCAGCACGAGUGAUGACCGCUAUUAUUGGGCCUAAAGCGUCCGUAGCCGGCCAGGCAAGUCCAUCGGGAAAUCCGCACGCCUAACGUGCGGGCGUCCGGUGGAAACUGCUUGGCUUGGGACCGGAAGAUCCAGAGGGUACGUCCGGGGUAGGAGUGAAAUCCUGUAAUCCUGGACGGACCACCGGUGGCGAAAGCGCUCUGGAAAGACGGAUCCGACGGUGAGGGACGAAAGCUUGGGUCACGAACCGGAUUAGAUACCCGGGUAGUCCAAGCUGUAAACGAUGUCUGCUAGGUGUGGCACAGGCUACGAGCCUGUGCUGUGCCGUAGGGAAGCCGUGAAGCAGACCGCCUGGGAAGUACGUCUGCAAGGAUGAAACUUAA
This 807-nucleotide ribosomal RNA is filed under the name uncultured euryarchaeote. RNAcentral's name for it is "bacterial SSU rRNA". It matches the Rfam family "Archaeal small subunit ribosomal RNA", at positions 52 to 859 of the family's 1478-position model. Lineage: Archaea; Methanobacteriati; Methanobacteriota. The record is from RNAcentral.